Molecule: ribosomal RNA, 500 nt
Filed under: uncultured bacterium
Lineage: Bacteria
Description: partial 16S ribosomal RNA
Rfam family: Bacterial small subunit ribosomal RNA
Source: RNAcentral
AUUGAACGCUGGCGGCAUGCCUUACACAUGCAAGUCGAACGGCAGCACGGGAGCAAUCCUGGUGGCGAGUGGCGAACGGGUGAGUAAAGUAUCGGAACGUGCCCAGUCGUGGGGGAUAACGUAGCGAAAGUUACGCUAAUACCGCCUACGAUCUAUGGAUGAAAGCGGGGGAUCGCAAGACAUCGCGCGAUUGGAGCGGCCGAUAUCAGAUUAGGUAGUUGGUGGGGUAAAGGCCCACCAAGCCGACGAUCGGUAGCGGGUCUGAGAGGACGACCAGCCACACUGGGACUGAGACACGGCCCAGACUCCUACGGGAGGCAGCAGUGGGGAAUUUUGGACAAUGGGCGAAAGCCUGAUCCAGCCAUGCCGCGUGCAGGAUGAAGGCCUUCGGGUUGUAAACUGCUUUUGUACGGAACGAAAAGGACUGCCCUAAUACGGUGGUCCCAUGACGGUACCGUAAGAAUAAGCACCGGCUAACUACGUGCCAGCAGCCGCCGUAA